This 255-nucleotide ribosomal RNA is filed under the name uncultured bacterium. RNAcentral describes it as "partial 16S ribosomal RNA". It matches the Rfam family "Bacterial small subunit ribosomal RNA", at positions 524 to 777 of the family's 1533-position model. The record is from RNAcentral.
UACGUAGGGGGCUAGCGUUGUCCGGAAUCAUUGGGCGUAAAGAGCGUGUAGGCGGUCCGGUAAGUCCGCUGUGAAAGUCGGGGGCUCAACCCUCGAAUGCCGGUGGAUACUGUCGGGCUAGAGUACGGAAGAGGCGAGUGGAAUUCCUGGUGUAGCGGUGAAAUGCGCAGAUAUCAGGAGGAACACCGAUGGCGAAGGCAGGUCUCCUGGGCAUUAACUGACGCUGAGGAGCGAAAGCAUGGGGAGCGAACAGGA